This 492-nucleotide ribosomal RNA is filed under the name uncultured bacterium. RNAcentral describes it as "partial 16S ribosomal RNA". It matches the Rfam family "Bacterial small subunit ribosomal RNA", at positions 30 to 507 of the family's 1533-position model. The record is from RNAcentral.
AUUGAACGCUGGCGGCAUGCUUUACACAUGCAAGUCGAACGGUAACAGGCCUUCGGGUGCUGACGAGAGGCGAACGGGUGAGUAAUGCAUCGGAACGUGCCCAGAGGUGGGGGAUAACGCAGCGAAAGCUGUGCUAAUACCGCAUGUGAUCUGAGGAUGAAAGCGGGGGACCAGGCAGCAAUGUUUGGCCUCGCGCCUUUGAAGCGGCCGAUGUCAGAUUAGGUAGUUGGUGGGGUAAAGGCCUACCAAGCCGACGAUCUGUAGCUGGUCUGAGAGGACGACCAGCCACACUGGGACUGAGACACGGCCCAGACUCCUACGGGAGGCAGAAGUGGGGAAUUUUGGCCAAUGGGCGCAAGCCUGAUCCAGCAAUGCCGCGUGAGGGAAGAAGGCCUUCGGGUUGUAAACCGCUUUUGUACGGAACGAAAAGGCUCUGGCUAAUACCUGGGGCUGAUGACGGUACCGUACGAAUAAGCACCGGCUAACUACGUG